This is a long non-coding RNA of Xenia sp. Carnegie-2017, 795 nucleotides long. RefSeq lists it as uncharacterized. The record is from RefSeq and is a predicted model, not a curated record. The transcript has 3 exons. Lineage: Eukaryota; Metazoa; Cnidaria; Anthozoa; Malacalcyonacea; Xeniidae.
UAAAGCAGAAGUGUUCAUGCUCUCUAGCAUUGCUAAACAAUAACUACCUUCACUUGAGAAUUAAGAGAUACAAUGACUUUGAUAAUUCGCCAAUUGGUAAUCUGUGAGUACAAUAAUUAAAGUUUACGCAAUGCAGUCGAAUGCUUCAUUUUGGGUUUCAAUAAUGACGAGGAUGGGACACAGAAGCACGCUGCUGUUUUCAAUUACAAACGUUAUCGAGAACAGUGUUCAAGAGUUGGUCUAUGCAGUUUGUCGUCAAAGUUACAUUUGUGCUGCAUAACAUUUGGGAUGUUAAUGACAGGAGGGUUUGCUUCAGUUGUGAAGGUACAUAAUAAAUUGGACGGCUAUCUCUAUGCGAUCAAAAGAAUUUAUUUGAAUCAGACAAGUGUUCUGUUAAAUCACAAAAUUGCUCGAGAAGAGAAGUUCCUUUCUAGAUUGAAUCAUGAAAAUAUUGUAAGGUAAAAAGAAAUUUACUAUCCAAGUAAAUCAAAAUUUUAUAACAUAAGGGUUGAAAGCGAGGCUCAAUUUAAACGAUACAAAUUGCCUAGCUUGUUAAAAAUUAUCUUUGUAAAAACUAUUAUAAAAAAGUAGAUAAUCCCUUUUUUUCAUGAAGCCCAUGGAUGCUUUUAUUCAUGAUGAGAAAGUUAUAUUUAAGAGGAGGCUCUCGCUCGUCACGAGAGAGUCAUAAGAAAGUUACAUUGUAAAAGAUAACAUGUAAAAAACGUAUAAACAUGUUUAGAGUUGGUUUAAAUUCUAAGUCAAAGAGGCAGAAGUAUUUUGAACCUUUGCAGUAUC